RNAcentral lists this ribosomal RNA (563 nucleotides) under Microbacterium sp. AHW1G3. RNAcentral describes it as "bacterial SSU rRNA". It matches the Rfam family "Bacterial small subunit ribosomal RNA", at positions 346 to 919 of the family's 1533-position model. The record is from RNAcentral. Lineage: Bacteria; Bacillati; Actinomycetota; Actinomycetes; Micrococcales; Microbacteriaceae.
AGGCAGCAGUGGGGAAUAUUGCACAAUGGGCGNAAGCCUGAUGCAGCAACGCCGCGUGAGGGAUGACGGCCUUCGGGUUGUAAACCUCUUUUAGCAGGGAAGAAGCGUAAGUGACGGUACCUGCAGAAAAAGCGCCGGCUAACUACGUGCCAGCAGCCGCGGUAAUACGUAGGGCGCAAGCGUUAUCCGGAAUUAUUGGGCGUAAAGAGCUCGUAGGCGGUUUGUCGCGUCUGCUGUGAAAUCCCGAGGCUCAACCUCGGGCCUGCAGUGGGUACGGGCAGACUAGAGUGCGGUAGGGGAGAUUGGAAUUCCUGGUGUAGCGGUGGAAUGCGCAGAUAUCAGGAGGAACACCGAUGGCGAAGGCAGAUCUCUGGGCCGUAACUGACGCUGAGGAGCGAAAGGGUGGGGAGCAAACAGGCUUAGAUACCCUGGUAGUCCACCCCGUAAACGUUGGGAACUAGUUGUGGGGACCAUUCCACGGUUUCCGUGACGCAGCUAACGCAUUAAGUUCCCCGCCUGGGGAGUACGGCCGCAAGGCUAAAACUCAAAUGAAUUGACGGACC